RNAcentral lists this non-coding RNA (23 nucleotides) under Cricetulus griseus (Chinese hamster). The record is from RNAcentral. Lineage: Eukaryota; Metazoa; Chordata; Mammalia; Rodentia; Cricetidae.
CUCCUGUUCUACACUUCCCCCCU